GCCUUGUGCCUGAAAGGGCGACGGCACUGCCGGAGCGAGAAGUCAGCAGAGGUCGUAGUAGUGGGAGUACGAGGCCGGUGAGGCUGAAGGGAAACCAUGAAGGAC
Pseudomonas sp. BRH_c35 is the source of this 105-nucleotide non-coding RNA. Lineage: Bacteria; Pseudomonadati; Pseudomonadota; Gammaproteobacteria; Pseudomonadales; Pseudomonadaceae. The record is from Rfam.